Molecule: ribosomal RNA, 238 nt
Filed under: uncultured bacterium
Lineage: Bacteria
Description: partial 16S ribosomal RNA
Rfam family: Bacterial small subunit ribosomal RNA
Source: RNAcentral
GAUCCUGGCUCAGGAUGAACGCUAGCUACAGGCUUAACACAUGCAAGUCGAGGGGCAGCAUCAUCAAAGCUUGCUUUGAUGGAUGGCGACCGGCGCACGGGUGAGUAACACGUAUCCAACCUGCCGACAACACUGGGAUAGCCUUUCGAAAGAAAGAUUAAUACCGGGAUGGGCAUAAUUAUUCCGCAUGGGAUAAUUAUUAAAGAAUUUCGGUUGUCGAUGGGGAUGCGUUCCAUUA